AUUGAACGCUGGCGGCACGCUUUACACAUGCAAGUCGAACGGUAACAGCAGAAGCUUGCUUCUGGCUGACGAGUGGCGGACGGGUGAGUAACGCGUGGGAAUCUACCUAGUAGCGGGGGACAACUCGAGGAAACUCGAGCUAAUACCGCAUAAUCCCUUCGGGGGAAAGGCUUCGGCCACUAUUAGAUGAGCCCGCGUCCGAUUAGCUUGUUGGUGGGGUAAUGGCCUACCAAGGCGACGAUCGGUAGCUGGUCUGAGAGGAUGAUCAGCCACACCGGGACUGAGACACGGCCCGGACUCCUACGGGAGGCAGCAGUGGGGAAUAUUGGACAAUGGGGGCAACCCUGAUCCGGCCAUACCGCGUGUGUGAAGAAGGCCUUCGGUUGUAAG
Molecule: ribosomal RNA, 390 nt
Filed under: uncultured Gammaproteobacteria bacterium
Lineage: Bacteria; Pseudomonadati; Pseudomonadota; Gammaproteobacteria
Description: bacterial SSU rRNA
Rfam family: Bacterial small subunit ribosomal RNA
Source: RNAcentral